CUGGGUGGAUGUCUGACCAACAUGAUGCACAAGAUUACAACAUAUUUUCAUUGGCAGAUAAGCUUUCUGGCAUUUUUCUGUCUCACUGCAAUUUUUGUAAUCUGCUUCUGUUGUUUUAUUAAUGCUUGUAGCUACUAGAAUGUUGAUGUUGACAAUCUUCUUUGAUUUUUACCUCACUUUUAAUUGUUUUUCUAAAAAGUACUGCUGGAAUGAUUAAGAAUGACGUUUACAGUUUUUUUCAUAUCUCAUCUUAUUCUCAAGUUAUCGCACUUUCUAUAUUUUGUGUUGUGACGUCGCAACUUUAACUGAUAAUGGCAAUAAAAAGGAAGUCUGAUAUCUUGGUGAGUAUUUAAUAAAAUUCAAUGAAACUUGGUACACUUAGUGGGGUACCCAUAUGAAUAUUUUUGGCAGGUCAUGUGGUUGUCAUGGCAACACACUAGUCCCCAAUCUCUUAUCUUCCUUUCAAGUUGUUCAAUUCGUUGCACUCAAUUAGUGUGCCAAGUUUCAUUGAAUUUUAGGAAACGAUAAUCAAGAUAUCAAAUGUUCUUGUUAUUGCCACUAUUUCGAGUCAUACUAGCGACGUAACAACUCAAAAUAUAGAAAGUGCGAUAACUUGGGAAAUAGACGAGAUACGAAUAAACUGUAAACGUCAUUCUUCAUCAUUUGAGCAGUACCUUUUAAUGAAGCAAUAAUAAAAAAUGAGGCAAAAAUUUCGUUCCAUAAGCACUUUGAAUUAUUGAAAGUAAAUUCUUGUACUAAAAUAAAAUAUAUUCUGAAAAAAAAUAUCAAUUGUUGUAUGAAUGUUGUCAUUAGAGGUGUGCGUCGGAUCGGAAUGGCCUCCCAACCUCGUUCUCAGGCUCUUC
Paramuricea clavata is the source of this 863-nucleotide non-coding RNA. NCBI's taxonomy places the organism in Eukaryota, Metazoa, Cnidaria, Anthozoa, Malacalcyonacea, Plexauridae. The record is from the annotation of a GenBank genome assembly.